This 353-nucleotide ribosomal RNA is filed under the name uncultured bacterium. RNAcentral describes it as "bacterial SSU rRNA". It matches the Rfam family "Bacterial small subunit ribosomal RNA", at positions 1133 to 1486 of the family's 1533-position model. The record is from RNAcentral.
GGGGACUCUAGUCGGACUGCCGCGAAAGCAGGAGGAGGGUGGGGACGACGUCAAGUCAUCAUGGCCUUUAUGACCUGGGCCACACACGUCCUACAAUGGGUGGUACAAAGGGCAGCAAGCCUGCAAAGGCAAGCCAAUCCCCGAAAGCCACCCUCAGUUCAGAUUGUGGGCUGCAAUCCGCCCACAUGAAGCUGGAAUCGCUAGUAAUCGCGGAUCAGCCACGCCGCGGUGAAUUUGUUCCUGAGCCUUGUACACACCGCCCGUCAAGCCACCCGAAUUGGCCGCACCCGUAGUCGUAGUUCCAACCGCAAGGAGGGACGCGCCGAAGGUGAUGCCGGUAAGGGGGACUAAGU